Molecule: long non-coding RNA, 321 nt
Filed under: Pan troglodytes (chimpanzee)
Lineage: Eukaryota; Metazoa; Chordata; Mammalia; Primates; Hominidae
Description: long non-coding RNA NONPTRT006304
Source: RNAcentral
GGGGGAUGGGUCCAUGAGGCUUGUCGAAGCAGGAGCCCUCCAUCAUAGUGGGAUUGUGACCUAUGUUUGGAUCCAGCUCACAGGCAAGAUGAUGAAUCAUACCUGGACCUAGCCAAGAGGAAAGAUAUUGACACUUGUACCUCAAAAUAGAGAAUCAAGUAAGAUUGUGGGUGUAUACCAGAAUGAAGGUGUCAGAGCCAACUGCAACUCUCAUGCAUAUCAUAUAAAGUCCUCCAGUGUCAUAACACGGUCCAGCACACAGGUCAUGAAUCUCACAACUGGAGAGAUUGAAAAGUUAGAAAUGUGACUCUAAUAUGUAAA